AUUGAACGCUGGCGGCAUGCUUUACACAUGCAAGUCGAACGGUAACAGGUUAAGCUGACGAGUGGCGAACAGGUGAGUAAUGCAUCGGAACGUGCCCGGUCGUGGGGGAUAACGCAGCGAAAGCUGCGCUAAUACCGCAUACGAUCUGAGGAUGAAAGCGGGGGACCGUAAGGCCUCGCGCGAUCGGAGCGGCCGAUGUCAGAUUAGGUAGUUGGUGGGGUGAAGGCACACCAAGCCAACGAUCUGUAGCUGGUCUGAGAGGACGACCAGCCACACUGGGACUGAGACACGGCCCAGACUCCUACGGGAGGCAGCAGUGGGGAAUUUUGGACAAUGGGCGAAAGCCUGAUCCAGCAAUGCCGCGUGCAGGAAGAAGGCCUUCGGGUUGUAAACUGCUUUUGUACGGAGCGAAAAGGUCUCCUCUAAUACAGGGGGCUCAUGACGGUACCGUAAGAAUAAGCACCGGCUAACUACGUGCCAGCCGCCGCUGUAA
Molecule: ribosomal RNA, 493 nt
Filed under: uncultured bacterium
Lineage: Bacteria
Description: partial 16S ribosomal RNA
Rfam family: Bacterial small subunit ribosomal RNA
Source: RNAcentral